Molecule: ribosomal RNA, 253 nt
Filed under: uncultured bacterium
Lineage: Bacteria
Description: partial 16S ribosomal RNA
Rfam family: Bacterial small subunit ribosomal RNA
Source: RNAcentral
UACGUAGGGUGCGAGCGUUGUCCGGAAUUAUUGGGCGUAAAGGGCUCGUAGGCGGUUUGUCGCGUCGGGAGUGAAAACCUACAGCUUAACUGUGGGCUUGCUUUCGAUACGGGCAGACUAGAGGUAUGCAGGGGAGAACGGAAUUCCUGGUGUAGCGGUGAAAUGCGCAGAUAUCAGGAGGAACACCGAUGGCGAAGGCAGGUCUCUGGGCCGAUACUGACGCUGAGGAGCGAAAGCGUGGGGAGCGAACAGG